GCCCGCAGAGCUCAGUGGUAGAGCGCGUCACUAGUAACUCUUGAAUCUUAAGAUUCGGCAUGACGAGGUCUUUAGUUCGACUCUGGAUGUGGACA
Non-coding RNA from Lasiosphaeria miniovina, 95 nucleotides. The record is from the annotation of a RefSeq genome assembly. Lineage: Eukaryota; Fungi; Ascomycota; Sordariomycetes; Sordariales; Lasiosphaeriaceae.